GUGGAGACCAAGCUGAGUUUUCUGCCUUCUAGUAGGAAGUGGAGCUUGGGACUUCCCCUUUACCUCAGGCCCUGCUGAAUGGAGGUGCUUGCACUGCUCAGGCUUGUGAAAAAGGAAGAGCUGCGUGAUUCCUGUUCCCUGCCUCUUCUGACUUUGGCUGUGGUGGAGGCUGUGCAUCGGCUAGACCUCAUCCUUUGCAACAAAACUGCUUAUCAGGAAGUGUUUAAACCAGAGAACGUUAGCCUGAGGAACAAGCUGCGUGAGCUCUGUGUGAAGCUUAUGUUCUUGCACCCAGUAGACUAUGGGAGGAAGGCUGAGGAACUGCUGUGGAGAAAGGUAUACUAUGAAGUCAUCCAACUCAUCAAGACUAACAAAAAGCACAUCCACAGUCGGAGCACCUUGGAAUGUGCCUACA
This 415-nucleotide long non-coding RNA is filed under the name Rattus norvegicus (Norway rat). Its description in RNAcentral is "long non-coding RNA NONRATT015419". Lineage: Eukaryota; Metazoa; Chordata; Mammalia; Rodentia; Muridae. The record is from RNAcentral.